GAUGAACGCUGGCGGCGUGCCUAAUACAUGCAAGUCGAGCGAACGGACGAGAAGCUUGCUUCUCUGAUGUUAGCGGCGGACGGGUGAGUAACACGUGGAUAACCUACCUAUAAGACUGGGAUAACUUCGGGAAACCGGAGCUAAUACCGGAUAAUAUUUUGAACCGCAUGGUUCAAAAGUGAAAGACGGUCUUGCUGUCACUUAUAGCUGGAUCCGCGCUGCAUUAGCUAGUUGGUAAGGUAACGGCUUACCAAGGCAACGAUGCAUAGCCGACCUGAGAGGGUGAUCGGCCACACUGGAACUGAGACACGGGCCAGACUCCUACAGGAGGCAGCAGUAGGGAAUCUUCCGCAAUGGGCGAAAGCCUGACGGAGCAAAGCCGCGUGAGUGAUGAAGGUCUUCGGAUCGUAAAACUCUGUUAUUAGGGAAGAACAUAUGUGUAAGUAACUGUGCACAUCUUGACGGUACCUAAUCAGAAAGCCACGGCUAACUACGUG
RNAcentral lists this ribosomal RNA (497 nucleotides) under uncultured bacterium. Its description in RNAcentral is "partial 16S ribosomal RNA". It matches the Rfam family "Bacterial small subunit ribosomal RNA", at positions 28 to 507 of the family's 1533-position model. The record is from RNAcentral.